Molecule: ribosomal RNA, 253 nt
Filed under: uncultured bacterium
Lineage: Bacteria
Description: partial 16S ribosomal RNA
Rfam family: Bacterial small subunit ribosomal RNA
Source: RNAcentral
UACAGAGGGGGCAAGCGUUGUUCGGAAUUACUGGGCGUAAAGGGCGCGUAGGCGGCCUGCUAAGUCGAACGUGAAAUCCCUGGGCUCAACCUAGGAACUGCAUUCGAAACUGGUCACCUAGAGUGAUGGAGAGGAAAGCGGAAUUCCCGGUGUAGAGGUGAAAUUCGUAGAUAUCGGGAGGAACACCAGUGGCGAAGGCGGCUUUCUGGACAUUUACUGACGCUGAGACGCGAAAGCGUGGGGAGCAAACAGG